GGGUAGGUUGCAGAGCGGUCAAAUGCAUCAGACUGUAAAUCUGACGACUAAUGUCUUCGGAGGUUCGAAUCCUUCCCUACCCA
This 83-nucleotide transfer RNA is filed under the name Ignavibacteria bacterium. RNAcentral's name for it is "tRNA-Tyr". It matches the Rfam family "tRNA". From Rfam's summary of the family: Transfer RNA (tRNA) molecules are approximately 80 nucleotides in length. Their secondary structure includes four short double-helical elements and three loops (D, anti-codon, and T loops). The record is from RNAcentral. Lineage: Bacteria; Pseudomonadati; Ignavibacteriota; Ignavibacteria.